CUGAAUUGGGAAACCCACUUACCAUAAGGUAGGUAUUGCAACAUGAAUACAUAGUGUUGCAAGGCGAACGAGGGGAAGUGAAACAUCUCAGUACCCUUAGGAAAAGAAAUCAAUUGAGAUUCCCUCAGUAGCGGCGAGCGAACGGGGAUCAGCCCAUUAAGUUAUGUGUGUUUUAGUGGAACGCUCUGGGAAGUGCGAACGUAGAGGGUGAUAUUCCCGUACACGAAAGGGCACACAUAAUGAUGACGAGUAGGGCGAGGCACGUGAAACCUUGUCUGAAUAUGGGGGGACCAUCCUCCAAGG
This 303-nucleotide ribosomal RNA is filed under the name Pseudomonas aeruginosa. Its description in RNAcentral is "partial 23S ribosomal RNA". It matches the Rfam family "Bacterial large subunit ribosomal RNA", at positions 114 to 465 of the family's 2925-position model. The record is from RNAcentral. Lineage: Bacteria; Pseudomonadati; Pseudomonadota; Gammaproteobacteria; Pseudomonadales; Pseudomonadaceae.